GCUCUGCCUCAGCUCGGACAUAAUUUGUUUGUGGUUGUCAGAUAAACGUCAAAUCUGUUAUCUGUCAUUGCCAGCUGAUGCAUUGUUUACUUUUCGCGCACAAUUUCAAGGUCUUCACAUCAUAGACUCGUUCAGGCUAACCUGUGGGCUAACAUACGACGGUGAAAAAUGUGGAUCCUUAUCUUAUACAUCAAUGUGAAUGAAAUGUUUUAGAUUCUCACUGCAUGGAGGACUUGUUGGCAUGCAUGCCGUACGAUACGGCGAAUAGGGUAAAUUUUUUGGAAUGCAUGCAAUGUGAAAUCCACAUGGACUACAGGGUCCACCGGCUUGUAUAAAGCCAAGUGUUGAAUAUGGUUGAGUUGAGACUGGUAGAAGAGUUUGUGAAUAUGCUGGAGUUUUUUUACAUUUGCUACAAAGUGCUGAACAAUACAUCUCUGUAUCUUUGCCACUGUUCUAGUAAAAUGGAAUAAUUGAAAUAGACAGGAAUUCUGAUAUUCAAUCUUUCACGUGGAUAAAAUGAAUUAAUAUUUCUUACCAAUUUCGAAAUGAUCCCACCGUGAUUGGUUCCUACUUGUAAUCAAGUAUAUGAAAAAUUUAAGUUCUACUAAACCUGAUCCUACAAAUUAUUGGUUAAUUGAACAUGAUUUUGGAUUUUGGGACAAUUGAGAAGCAGAAUAACAAAUUCUUCCCAUUCACUUUUUAUUUUUCACAUUCAACUUCAUUUCAAACAGAGCAAAUAGGAAAAUUUCUGCUUUCGGCUCAAAUAUUUAACAAAAUUCAAGCAGUGACUAAGUCUGGCAAGUUUUUGGUCUUAUUCUAUGUGUCUUUUUACACGAAAUCUUCCCAAUGUGUAACAAAAAUUCUUCUCAUAAAAAUUCCUGUUGGAAUGAAAUGGAGGAACUCAAGUACUUGAUUUGCGCCAUUGAUUGCUGGUUUGUACUAGAUAAUUGUGAUAUCCAUCAGGUCAAGAGAUUUAUGCUAACUAUUUAUACAAUGCGAAAAUAGUUCACUAAUUAAUUUUCAGUAAAUGUGAGCAUGUGCCACCACCACCGUCCUGUUCAAUCAUGUUACCUCCUCGCAUAAAA
Long non-coding RNA from Athalia rosae (coleseed sawfly), 1085 nucleotides. RefSeq lists it as uncharacterized. The transcript is spliced from 2 exons. The record is from RefSeq and is a predicted model, not a curated record. Lineage: Eukaryota; Metazoa; Arthropoda; Insecta; Hymenoptera; Athaliidae.